ACGUAGGGGGCAAGCGUUGUCCGGAAUCAUUGGGCGUAAAGCGCGUGUAGGCGGCUUGAUAAGUCCGCUCUGAAAGCCCGGGGCUCAACCCCGGGAGGCGGGUGGAUACUGUCAAGCUCGAGUCCGGAAGAGGCGAGUGGAAUUCCUGGUGUAGCGGUGAAAUGCGCAGAUAUCAGGAGGAACACCAAUGGCGAAGGCAGCUCGCUGGGACGUGACUGACGCUGAGACGCGAAAGCGUGGGGAGCAAACAGGAUUAGAUACCCUGGUAGUCCACGCCGUAAACGAUGGGCACUAGGUGUGGGAGGUGUCGACUCCUCCCGUGCCGAAGCUAACGCAUUAAGUGCCCCGCCUGGGGAGUACGGCCGCAAGGCUA
This 373-nucleotide ribosomal RNA is filed under the name uncultured bacterium. RNAcentral describes it as "bacterial SSU rRNA". It matches the Rfam family "Bacterial small subunit ribosomal RNA", at positions 525 to 896 of the family's 1533-position model. The record is from RNAcentral.